AUGCUUUGGAAGAAGCUUGUACAGUUUGGGAAGGGGUUUUUUGAGAGAAAAGAAGAAUCUACUUCAACCGAUAUGCCCUUAGGCACGGCCAUGCAUAACAUAGAAAUCACACGUGGAAGGGGUGGGCAAUUAGCUAGAGCAGCAGGUGCUGUAGCGAAACUCAUUGCAAAAGAGGGUAAAUCGGCCACUUUAAGAUUACCAUCUGGGGAGGUCCGUUUAGUAUCCCAAAACUGCUUAGCAACAGUCGGACAAGUGGGUAAUGUUGGGGUGAACCAAAAAAGUUUGGGUAGAGCCGGAUCUAAGUGUUGGCUAGGUAAACGCCCCGUAGUAAGAGGGGUAGUUAUGAACCCUGUGGACCACCCCCAUGGGGGCGGUGAAGGGAAAGCUCCCAUUGGUAGAAAAAAACCCACAACCCCUUGGGGUUAUCCUGCGCUUGGAAGAAGAACUAGGAAAAGGAAAAAAUAUAGCGAUAGUUUUAUUCUUCGUCGCCGUAAGUAA
RNAcentral lists this ribosomal RNA (498 nucleotides) under Triticum aestivum (bread wheat). Its description in RNAcentral is "partial small subunit ribosomal RNA". The record is from RNAcentral. Lineage: Eukaryota; Viridiplantae; Streptophyta; Magnoliopsida; Poales; Poaceae.